GACAGAGGGUGCUAGCGUUGUUCGGAAUUACUGGGCGUAAAGGGCGCGUAGGCGGCUCGUUUAGUCGGGUGUGAAAUCCCGGGGCUCAACCCCGGAACUGCAUUCGAUACUGGCGGGCUAGAGACCGGAAGAGGUGGGUGGAAUACCCAGUGUAGAGGUGAAAUUCGUAGAUAUGGGGAGGAACACCGGUGGCGAAGGCGGCCAUCUGGACGGAUACUGACGCUGAGACGCGAAAGCGUGGGUAGCAAACAGG
RNAcentral lists this ribosomal RNA (253 nucleotides) under uncultured bacterium. RNAcentral describes it as "partial 16S ribosomal RNA". It matches the Rfam family "Bacterial small subunit ribosomal RNA", at positions 524 to 776 of the family's 1533-position model. The record is from RNAcentral.